AACUUUAUAGUCAAUAGUAAUAUGAUAUUAGACUGCAAUUCUAAAGGAAUAAUUUUUUUUUUAUUAAAGUUU
Molecule: transfer RNA, 72 nt
Filed under: Nilodorum tainanus
Lineage: Eukaryota; Metazoa; Arthropoda; Insecta; Diptera; Chironomidae
Description: tRNA-Cys
Source: RNAcentral